GGAAUUUCCCAUUUUAAUUCUUCUUUAUAAGCUUGUAGCCUUGAGAGGCAUAUUUAGUUUCUGGAAAUAAAUUAUUAUUUUGGUUGUGCAACUUAGGUUCUACAUCAAUCUGUCAUUGUAUGAGCGGUUUCAUGUUUUCCUUUCUCCUUUGUUUUUUCUUUCUUUUAUUUGUAUAAAAUCUUUGAAGAUUCAUAAGUUUAAUGCUUUUCGGUUCAAUUGCCCCUUCUUUUAGAAUUUAAGUUUAUAAUUAUGAGACACUGUUCUUCAGUGUGCCUUUCAUUUUGCCUUUCAUGACAUUGUUUAUGUGCCUUACCAUGUAUCAUAAUUUGUUAAAUCACAUAGCAGGUAUGUGAGUGAUUUAAUAUGGA
RNAcentral lists this unclassified non-coding RNA (368 nucleotides) under Hevea brasiliensis (rubber tree). The record is from RNAcentral. Lineage: Eukaryota; Viridiplantae; Streptophyta; Magnoliopsida; Malpighiales; Euphorbiaceae.